Suricata suricatta (meerkat) is the source of this 1303-nucleotide long non-coding RNA. RefSeq lists it as uncharacterized. The record is from RefSeq and is a predicted model, not a curated record. NCBI's taxonomy places the organism in Eukaryota, Metazoa, Chordata, Mammalia, Carnivora, Herpestidae. The transcript is spliced from 5 exons.
ACCAGGUUCCUGGCCCAGGUAGGGAGGGCUUUAGGGGCACAAGGUCCAGGUCUGUCAGUGACUCAGGGGCCCCAGAAGGCUGCGCUGGGUCUCUUUUCUCUGCCCAUGCCAGACAAGAAGUGUAACCUGUCGCUGAGGUGCUGAGGCAGGCAGAGCCACGGAAGAGGCAAAUAUGGACUGCAUUCCUGAAUGGAUAUACACCGACAGGUACAGAUCCCGAGGUGGUAUGUUCUCUGGACCUUCAAUACUGCGUUCUGGGAGAAGGCUGGCCAUGGAAAGACCUCCAAAAUACAAGAGUGAGAAAAGCCAGGCACAGUGUGAUUCAGACUGCACGAGACGAGACUUUCGUCUGAGCCCAUGAGCCCACGGGGACCGCCAGGACGAACGCAACAAGAGAGCUCACGGCCCCUGUGUUCACCUGAAAAUUCAGCAAGGGGAUGAUGCCAAAGAAGGCAAAGACCUAUAGGAACUGAUGUCCCUAAGCUGUCGAAGCAACUCAGACAGAGCUGUGGAUGGCUGUGCUGUGGCUGCAGAGGAGCUCCCAGACCCGCUGACUAUACCGAAGGUUCCAGGAGGCCCAGGGCCCAGAAUCCGGCGGGGAGGGGAGCACCAGGCGUUCUGGACCAGAGCUCUGGUCCUUGGAUCCGGGCAGAAGACACCUCACCACCACCACCCCAGCCCUGCGCUGCCUCUCUGGAGUACCUGGUCGCCGACACCCAAGCCGUAGUAGCCGUGCGUCACCACCUCCCAGUGCAGGAAACAGAUGAGCGCGUCCUGCCCGCAAGUGAUGGCCGGCGCCGCCGACGCGAACAGUACCUCCAAGCCCGCCAUGGGCUCCCUCGGCUUCUGCAGGCGGAGGAAGGAAGGGAGAGUGAGUGUCGUGAGCGGACUCGGCCCUCAGAGCGCUGAGGGGUCCGCUCUGCUCCUCUGCCCGCCCAGGCCUAGUGCCGACCUGCCGCCAAAAUGGAGCCGCCCCGGGGGCGGAACAGAGCCGCCGGAAGUGACAACAAGCGCCUGCCCAGUUCCCGAGUGCUCCGACUGGAAACUCGAGCCCAGUGCUUGAACGUUCCGCUACGCAGCUCGCAGGCGGGGCGGAGCGGGGCGGGGCGCGGCCCUUUAGAGCUCUUGUCUCCUUUCACCAGGUGGCUGGAGAGACCCACCCUCACAGGAUCCUAGGUGAGGUCUUCCAGGAGAGGCUACCUUGUUCUAGGCCACAGAUUUCCCAUCCUCAGAAUGCUGGUGGAGAAAGAGUUUAUGAAAUAUGGCUAAAAUACAUGAAUAAUAAUAGUUGGCACUUGGGAAA